RNAcentral lists this small RNA (125 nucleotides) under Marmota monax (woodchuck). Lineage: Eukaryota; Metazoa; Chordata; Mammalia; Rodentia; Sciuridae. The record is from RNAcentral.
GCUGGGUGCUGUGGCACACGCCUGUAAUCCCAGCAGCUUGGGAGGCUGAGGCAGGAGGAUUGUGAGUUCAAAGCCAGCCUCAGAAAAAGUGAGGCCCUUAGCAACUCAGUGAGACCCUGUCUCUA